UAACGGCCUACCAAGGCGAUGAUGCAUAGCCCGAGUUGAGAGACUGAUCGGCCACAUUGGGACUGAGACACGGCCCAAAAACUCCUACGGGAGGCAGCAGUAGGGAAUCUUCCACAAUGGACGCAAGUCUGAUGGAGCAACGCCGCGUGAGUGAAGUAAGGGUUUCGGCUACGUAAAGCUCUGUUGUUGGUGAAGAAGGACAGGGGUAGUAACUGACCUUUGUUUGACGGUAAUCAAUUAGAAAGUCACGGCUAACUACGUGCCAGCAGCCGCGGUAAU
RNAcentral lists this ribosomal RNA (279 nucleotides) under uncultured Lactobacillus sp. Its description in RNAcentral is "partial 16S ribosomal RNA". It matches the Rfam family "Bacterial small subunit ribosomal RNA", at positions 258 to 524 of the family's 1533-position model. The record is from RNAcentral. Lineage: Bacteria; Bacillati; Bacillota; Bacilli; Lactobacillales; Lactobacillaceae.